UACGGAGGGUGCAAGCAUUAAUCGGAUUUACUGGGCGUAAAGAAUGCGUAGGCUGUUUUGUAAGUCAGAUGUGAAAUUCCGGGGCUUAACCCCGGCACUGCAUUUGAAACUGCGAGACUAGAGGAUAGACGGAGAAAGUAGAAUUCCAUAUGUAGCGGUGAAAUGCGUAGAUAUAUGGAGGAAUACCGGUGGCGAAGGCG
This 200-nucleotide ribosomal RNA is filed under the name uncultured bacterium. RNAcentral describes it as "partial 16S ribosomal RNA". It matches the Rfam family "Bacterial small subunit ribosomal RNA", at positions 524 to 723 of the family's 1533-position model. The record is from RNAcentral.